This 1242-nucleotide unclassified non-coding RNA is filed under the name Hevea brasiliensis (rubber tree). The record is from RNAcentral. Lineage: Eukaryota; Viridiplantae; Streptophyta; Magnoliopsida; Malpighiales; Euphorbiaceae.
AGAGGAGCUUGCUUCAACAAUACAGAGAAGACAUUGCAUCAGAUCCUAACAGAAUUCCCGCAAACAAUGCUGUAAAUCAAUUUGCUGAAGCAUUGGCUAAAGCUUGGAAUGAAUAUGGUGAUCCAAGGGCUGUGAUUAUUUUUGUGGUUCAAGCUGAAGAGCGCAAUAUGUAUGACCAGCAUUGGCUUUCUGCAUCAUUGAGAGAAAGACAUCAAGUUACAACUAUCAGAAAGACGCUGGCUGAAAUUGAUGCACUUGGCGAGCUUCAACAAGAUGGUACCCUUGUUGUAGAUGGUCAAGCUGUGGCAGUCAUUUAUUUUAGAGCUGGCUAUGCACCAAGUGACUAUCACUCGGAAUCUGAGUGGAAAGCUAGGCUGCUGAUGGAGCAAUCACGUGCAGUCAAGUGCCCUUCAAUUUCUUAUCAUUUAGCUGGCAGCAAGAAGAUUCAGCAAGAGCUUGCAAAGCCCAAUGUACUUGAAAGGUUUCUGGAAAACAAAGAUGACAUUGCCAAACUACGGAAAUGCUUUGCAGGGUUGUGGAGCUUGGAUGAAUCCGACAUUGUCAAGGAUGCAAUUGAGAGGCCUGAAUUGUAUGUUAUGAAACCACAACGAGAAGGAGGAGGAAACAAUAUCUAUGGGGAGGAUGUCAGAGGUGCUCUUUUGAAACUGCAAAAGGAAGGCACUGGAAGUGAUGCAGCCUACAUACUAAUGCAGAGGAUUUUCCCGAAGAUCUCUCACUCGAUACUAAUGCGAGAAGGCAUCUCUCAUAAAGAAGAAACCAUAUCAGAACUUGGGAUAUAUGGUACCUAUUUAAGGAACAAAACGGAAGUUUUAAUCAACCAACAGGCUGGUUACUUGAUGCGAACAAAGGUCUCUUCAUCAGAUGAGGGGGGAGUUGCAGCCGGGUUUGCAGUUUUGGACAGUAUAUACUUGGUUUGAUGGAAUUGUCUUGCGCGUUGACACUAUAACAAUGGUUGAAUGCAGAAGCUGGACAAGUCAUUUCCUACAUUAUGUUGAGACACCAUGCUUUAGCCUGUUUAACCUUUCCUUGUUUUACAUUGUAUUUUUCUUGCUUAACAUCUUUAAUAAAUAGAGCUCCACAUCUGAAGGAAGUGACCAAAAGAAUGGUAUAGUCAAUUCAAAGUGUUUGCUUGCAAUUUUAACCUAUUCAGUGUUUGGACUCUUUGUUACCACAGGAGCUUUUACUGUUCUGUUCAUUACAUGUAAUUCUGUUUCACUUUUG